GAAAUGCGAUAAGUAGUGUGAAUUGCAGAAUUCAGUGAAUCAUCGAAUCUUUGAACGCACAUUGCGCCCCUUGGUAUUCCAUGGGGCAUGCCUGUUCGAGCGUCAUUUGUACCCUCAAGCUUUGCUUGGUGUUGGGCGUCUUGUCGGAAUAUCCGACUCGCCUUAAAUACAUUGGCAGCCGGCACUUUGGCCUAGGAGCGCAGCACAUUUUGCGAUCGUAAGCCGUUGUGACAGCAUCCAUAAGAUUUAUUUUACCACGUUCGACCUCGGAUCAGGUAGGGAUACCCGCUGAACUUAAGC
RNAcentral lists this unclassified non-coding RNA (300 nucleotides) under plant metagenome. Its description in RNAcentral is "partial contains 5.8S ribosomal RNA, internal transcribed spacer 2, and large subunit ribosomal RNA". The stretch from base 1 to 105 matches the Rfam family "5.8S ribosomal RNA", at positions 50 to 154 of the family's 154-position model. The record is from RNAcentral.